Molecule: microRNA, 20 nt
Filed under: Brugia malayi
Lineage: Eukaryota; Metazoa; Nematoda; Chromadorea; Rhabditida; Onchocercidae
Also listed under: 1 other name
Description: bma-miR-5851
Source: miRBase by way of RNAcentral
UUCGCAAUUCAUGGAUGUAU